UACAGAGGUCUCAAGCGUUGUUCGGAUUCAUUGGGCGUAAAGGGUGUGUAGGUGGCGCUGUAAGUCGGGUGUGAAAUUUCGGAGCUUAACUCCGAAACUGCAUUCGAUACUGCGGUGCUUGAGGACUGGAGAGGAGACUAGAAUUCAUGGUGUAGCAGUGAAAUGCGUAGAGAUCAUGAGGAAGACCAGUGGCGAAGGCGGGUCUCUGGACAGUUCCUGACACUGAGACACGAAGGCCAGGGGAGCAAACGGG
RNAcentral lists this ribosomal RNA (253 nucleotides) under uncultured bacterium. RNAcentral describes it as "partial 16S ribosomal RNA". It matches the Rfam family "Bacterial small subunit ribosomal RNA", at positions 524 to 776 of the family's 1533-position model. The record is from RNAcentral.